GGAAAGGAAGAGAGGAAGAAAGGAAGAAAGGAAGAAAGGAAGAAAGGAAGAAAAGAAGAAAAGAAGAAAAGAAGAAAAGAAGAGAGGAGAAAGGAAGAAAGGAAGAAAGGAAGGGAAGGCUGCUCAGCGGAUGCAGACUUGGGAACGCCAUCAGGCAAACAGCUGCCUGUCGACUCUUACAAGCUGAAGCACAAAUAGGUAUUCGGUGUCAAUGUAUCUGGAUGAAAAGAUCUUCAUAAGCAGUAGUGAAACCCAGCUGAGCUGAAAGAGAUUGGAGUUGCAGGGGAAAUCACAUCAGUUCAGAACACCUAGGGUUUGCAAAGUACAG
Long non-coding RNA from Columba livia (rock pigeon), 328 nucleotides. RefSeq lists it as uncharacterized. The transcript has 3 exons. Lineage: Eukaryota; Metazoa; Chordata; Aves; Columbiformes; Columbidae. The record is from RefSeq and is a predicted model, not a curated record.